This 155-nucleotide ribosomal RNA is filed under the name Petrorhagia saxifraga. Its description in RNAcentral is "5.8S ribosomal RNA". It matches the Rfam family "5.8S ribosomal RNA". Rfam says of the family: 5.8S ribosomal RNA (5.8S rRNA) is a component of the large subunit of the eukaryotic ribosome. It is transcribed by RNA polymerase I as part of the 45S precursor that also contains 18S and 28S rRNA. Functionally, it is thought that 5.8S rRNA may be involved in ribosome translocation. The record is from RNAcentral. Lineage: Eukaryota; Viridiplantae; Streptophyta; Magnoliopsida; Caryophyllales; Caryophyllaceae.
AAACGACUCUCGGCAACGGAUAUCUCGGCUCUCGCAUCGAUGAAGAACGUAGCGAAAUGCGAUACUUGGUGUGAAUUGCAGAAUCCCGUGAACCAUCGAGUUUUUGAACGCAAGUUGCGCCCGAAGCCUCGGCUAAGGGCACGUCUGUCUGGGCG